This 373-nucleotide ribosomal RNA is filed under the name uncultured organism. Its description in RNAcentral is "partial 16S ribosomal RNA". It matches the Rfam family "Bacterial small subunit ribosomal RNA", at positions 527 to 896 of the family's 1533-position model. The record is from RNAcentral.
GUAGGUGGCAAGCGUUGUCCGGAAUUAUUGGGCGUAAAGCGCGCGCAGGCGGUUCUUUAAGUCUGAUGUGAAAGCCCACGGCUCAACCGUGGAGGGACAUUGGAAACUGGAGAACUUGAGUACAGAAGAGGAAAGCGGAAUUCCACGUGUAGCGGUGAAAUGCGUAGAGAUGUGGAGGAACACCAGUGGCGAAGGCGGCUUUCUGGUCUGUAACUGACGCUGAGGCGCGAAAGCGUGGGGAGCAAACAGGGAUUAGAUACCCUGGUAGUCCACGCCGUAAACGAUGAGUGCUAAGUGUUAGGGGGUUUCCGCCCCCUUAGUGCUGCAGCUAACGCAUUAAGCACUCCGCCUGGGGAGUACGGCCGCAAGGCUG